This is a non-coding RNA of Arachis ipaensis, 231 nucleotides long. The record is from RefSeq and is a predicted model, not a curated record. Lineage: Eukaryota; Viridiplantae; Streptophyta; Magnoliopsida; Fabales; Fabaceae.
UUGAAGUUGUUCGGCUACUGUAAUUGCAAUUUGUAAUAACGCAGUCGCUAUAAGAGGCGUUAGAGCUGUUGCUGUUUCGUGGGGUUAAUGCUAUCGUUGCUACCAUGAAUUAAAAGGAAAGGGAAUUGUCACGAUAAGUUUAUGCGAACCCGGCUAAUCGAGGUUCGAAGACUCAGUUUGAAGCUGCGGGCGAUUAUUGACUUUAUUUAUGAGUUGAGUUACCUUCAUAGA